RNAcentral lists this long non-coding RNA (3520 nucleotides) under Homo sapiens (human). Its description in RNAcentral is "HSALNT0206849". The record is from RNAcentral. Lineage: Eukaryota; Metazoa; Chordata; Mammalia; Primates; Hominidae.
GAUUGCUACUGUAAAAAUGCCCUGCACGGAGGCUGUAGCCAAUUCCACUCAAGUGAAAGGAUGUUUGUUUAUUCCUGGCCUCACUGAAAAUUACCAAGCUCUUUAUCUCGUUUUUUGUCUAGCAGAAGCUAAGAAAAGAGCUUAUUUUGUGACUGCAUCCGGACCUUGAGUUCUUUGGCUCUUGUGUGAGUGGAUGGUGACACCAGGCCAGCUGGGGAUUCUUCCCAGGCUGGGCUCACAGGCUGGGGCUGGGCACACGGAGCAGCUGCGGGAAAAGGAUCUGGACACCAGCCCCCCAGCGUGUCACCGGCAGGAAGGUGAGGUGGGAACAGAGUGACGUCCAUGCAUGUUCAGGACUAAGCCAGUGGAUCACAAACAUCCUGGAGAGCAGUGACUCUGUGAUUCCAUCACAAGAAUAUGAAGGACUGAGAAGAUCUCCAGCUCUGCCCAUUGCACCUUCCCAUUGAGAAGCAGCAUGGCACCCUGGUGGCAGGGGCUGAUACUCAGCCGGGCCAGGGUGCUCUCCUGUUAACCAUAACCAAGCUCACAGGACAUGGGAUGAGCCCACUGUGUGACACAGGGAGCGGGACACAGUCUGUUAAGUCUUGCACAGCCAUGCUCUGCCACGCAGGCAGGCCUUUCCUUGGCCUCCCUCUCCCUGUUCGUGCUCAUGUGAACAUCCACCUACGUGGAUAGACUGGGCUUUGGUUCAUUAUUGCUCUGUGAAUUCCUCGAACUUCCGCAUCUGCCCAACCUCCCCCACCCCAUUGUUUUCAUUGUGUUUCACCAAAUGGAAAUUCUAGAGUAAGCAUGUGAGUCCUCUCCCAAACUUGUUCACUGUUGAGAGUGCUAAAAUGCUAACCCCAGAUGCUAACUGAGGGGUAGGGUUACCUUAUCUUUAGAGCACUGCGAAUUGUAUGUUAAGUGGAACUUAAUGAAAAAAUAGUUAAUUGACCAACAUGAAUAUCCCCUGAACAGAAUCUCCCCUGAACAGAAUCCUACAAUGAAACUAAGGGAGAUAAAUAAAGCUGUUUACCUGAAAGCUCUCUCUAAUCAAGAUCCUUUGAAAUUUAUAAAACAUGGUCAAUAUUUGCACUGGACUUUGUAAAAAUAAAGCUUGAUAAGAGAAGAGUUUGAAGUGAAAUGCUGCCACUUUCUAUGCAAUAUUUGAUUUAAAUUUAAUUCCUAGAAACCUCAGAUGAAUGUGGUUCAUGUAUCAAAGCACUCAGCAUUAUUUAUCGCGGCCUUAAAUACACAGUGAGCUUACAUGUGAAUGAAUACAUAUAUUAUGUAUCUCUCUCUAUAUAUAUACUAUAUAGAUAAUAUAGUAUAUAUAUAUAUAUAGUGUAUAUAUACACUAUAUAUAUCGUGUAUACAUAUACUAUCUAUAUAGUAUAUAUGUAUAUGGUAUAUAUAUCUAUCUAUAGAUAGAUAGAUAGAUAUACUUAAAAAAACCCCAUUCCCUUAAGAGCAGUUAAGGGACACCAUAUAUCAAAUUUCUUGGCACGUUGUGAAUAUUAAUAUCCCCAAAGUGUCAAUGUCAAAUGAUUUGACUUGAAAUCACUAAGCUUGGUAAUCUCACUAUUUUUAAACAAGGCCUAACAUCUUUUAAUCUUGAAUACCAGCAAGUUCUCAGACUUCAGUUGUUUAUUUUCUCUUUUCUUUCCUUUAAAAAAUUCUGACAAGCUCUUUUCCUUGACACAAAGAAAGCGUAUAAAUUUUAUUUUGGUUUGAACAACAGAAAUUUGCCUCUCAGAAUUCUGGAGAUUGGAAAGUCUAAGGACUAAGCUGCUGGCCAAUUUAGUUCUUAGUGAGGACUCUCUUCCUGGCUUGUAGAUGGCUGCCUUCUCACUGCAUCCUCAGAGAGAGAGAGAGAGAGGGCUCUUGUGUCUCUUCCUUUCUCAUAAAGCGUCAGCUCUCUUGUAUUAGGGUCCCACCCAUAAUUACCCCCUUAUAUGCCCCAUCUACAAAUAGAGUCACAUUGUGGGUUAGAGCUUGGCAGUGAAUAAUUAUGGAGGUUAUUGUUGGCUUUAGAAUUUCGUGGUAGAAACAAUAAAUUGCCUUUGUGUUUACGUUUUAUUUUAUUUUUUUAACAUUAACAUGUAUUUGCAACAAUGAAAACAGCAGGUGAAUACAUUCUGGGUAGGGGAAAAAGUUAGAGGAGUGCUAUCCAGAAGUUAUAUUUCCUAGGAAUAUGGGGAAUAAAACAUUCAAUAUUGGUGGUUCUAAUAGAUGAAUUAAAUUUAAUUUGAUGUGGAGUGGCCAUGUCCCCUGUCUCGGGAUGCCGUGUGAAGCCUGGCUCUUGUGACAGCUGUUUAGAUUUGCUGAAAGAUGUUUUAAGUGUCCUAGGAAAGAGGUUUCCAUUCAUUCUAGAACUGAUAGUUUUCUCUUAAAGUGUUAAUUUACAUUUUAAUGUUGAUGUGGUAUCCAUCUCAGGUUAAUGUUUGGCACUAGGUAAUUGAAUUUUUAAAAAUCUCAUUUUAUUUUCUGUCUGCUUUUGGGAGAGAGAAGUGGUUAGGUUUUUAUUACAGGAAGGAUUUUUCUCUUUCUCUAUUAUAAUACCUGAAAGCAAAUAUAUAUAAGCUAUACAUGAAGUCAUUACAAUUCUUUUUUCUCAUUUUAUUUUCACUUUUGGGAAAGAUUGCUGCCAAUAUUUGUGAGAUCUCUUUUCAGUUCUAUCUUUUACUUCUGCAUGUCCGUUAUCUUAGCCAUGCAAUGUUUAGUUUGAGGCAGUUUCACCCAAGGGACAUACCUUAGAAUAGACUCUCAUGGCCAGUAAUGAAUGACUGAUGGAGGGAACAGCAGUUUAUAGGUUUUUUGUUGUUUUUAAGGAGAAAAAUUAACACCCUUCAUCAAACCUCCUCUUUCUUCCUUCUCUCCUCCCCUCCAUCUCACCCUGCCUCCCCUUGGGAUCUUACUCCUGUGAUUAGUUUGGGUUCCACACAAAGAAAGAUUUAUUACUUUAAUGUCUUUGUGAUUUAGUUUUAUGUGAUCUUCCUAGGGACACCAGGGAGUACACGCUCCCCUUUCUGAAUAUGUUGUAAGCUCCUUUGAGGCAAAAAUGAAUGUUCCUGUGUUACAAGAACAGAGCAGCCCUUAUCAUCUUCUCGAAUCUUAUCUUUCUGAGUUAAACAUUUGGCAUCAGUGACGAAGUAAGACCAGACAUUGAGGAUGAGACGUCAAAUCCAAAUAGAAUCUUCAACUCGGAGGCACCAGUCUCUCUCACUUGAGGAAAGAAUGCGAAGGAAGGAAUGGCCUGACUUCCUCAUGUGUGCCCUGUUUCUCGGUAGGCACCAUGUGGGGGCUGCCACACAUGUGCCGAAGCUUUGGGAACGUUCCGUUUAAAUACCAAUUUCGAUGCCAAUGCCUAACAUGGAGCACAAAUAUCCAGAGGUAGAAGCUGAGAACAAGGAUGAAGGAAGAAUCAAUGAUGAUUGGGAGAUACUGAGCCUGAGUGAAGGAGGAGAUGGAAAUUAUCACUGGCAGGAGCCGGGAGUGAUGUGAGGGGUUGAUGAGUGAA